RNAcentral lists this long non-coding RNA (347 nucleotides) under Linum usitatissimum (flax). Its description in RNAcentral is "long non-coding RNA (LUSI_LNC003252)". The record is from RNAcentral. Lineage: Eukaryota; Viridiplantae; Streptophyta; Magnoliopsida; Malpighiales; Linaceae.
GAGGUGGAAUGAAAUGUGGACGGAAAUGGAAGACCUUGCUAAAGAGGCUGCCAUUGUUAUUAUAGUGAAACUUUUAUGGAUCAGGUUUGCAGCCAAGUAAGAACCAUGGUAGACUUCAUAAACGAUAACAAGAUCAUACCACAGACAAUUUAGAAAUAGCAUACUGGCUCGAUUGACAGGAAUUUAAAUGUUGCGUAGUAAAACGACAUCCAAAACGAAGUACAAGAUUCACUGCAAUUGUCAAGAACAAUGAUACCAACCAACCAACGACAAACAAUACUUCUGUCGAGACAUAACAUUUCUUCGCAACAAAACUACUUUUAGGAAUGAUAAUCGGACAGUUCUAU